Nicotiana tabacum (common tobacco) is the source of this 435-nucleotide non-coding RNA. The record is from RefSeq and is a predicted model, not a curated record. NCBI's taxonomy places the organism in Eukaryota, Viridiplantae, Streptophyta, Magnoliopsida, Solanales, Solanaceae.
GUUUUGUUUUACCCUUCACGAUAAAACUUCAAUUUGCCGUUUUUUUGUUUCCUCUUAACAUACCCCACGUUUCACAGCUUCAUGCCAAGAGUUAGCUCUUCAUAGGGAUAAUGGGUUGAUUUUAGGGUUAGAAUUUGCAGAAUGUGGGAUUCUUUUAAUCCCAAGAAAAACGGAGAAUUGAUUGGCUUGGAUAUGAUAUUUAUUGACAAAAAGGUGUAUGUGGAGCCCAAUAUACCUACAUUUGAUCUCGCUAUUACAGGACGCAUGAAUUGAUCUUUAGGGCUACAUAAUACACAAAUGCAAUUCAUAUGUGGUCAGCUGGUUGAAUUUUCGCUGAGAUCUAAAUUCAAGAAAGACACCAUACAAGGAAGAUGGGAAGAUGAUUCAAAAUAACACAAAACAUAACACAACCACGAAGAGGAGCAGUUUUUAAAC